RNAcentral lists this unclassified non-coding RNA (162 nucleotides) under uncultured Sebacina. Its description in RNAcentral is "sequence contains ITS1". The record is from RNAcentral. Lineage: Eukaryota; Fungi; Basidiomycota; Agaricomycetes; Sebacinales; Sebacinaceae.
UUGAUUGUGAAUCGUUGCCUUCAGUGCUGGCCCCGGCAAGUGCACGUUGGUGACUUUCAUCCAGUCCCCUGUGAACCUUUGGCCUCUGCCAGCCAAAGCCAGCAGAGGAUUUACACAAACUCGAAUGUAAUGAAACUAUUGCUGUGCGCAAGCACGAAUGUA